GCCCAAGGAAGGCCAAACGAAGAGCAACCCAUCAAAGCGGCACCGGGAGCGUCUCAAUGGCGAGCUGGACACUAUAGCCUCGCUGCUGCCUUUUGAACAGAACAUCCUGAGUAAACUCGACCGUCUCUCCAUACUGCGGCUGUCGGUAUCAUACCUCAGGACCAAGAGCUGCUUUGCAGCAUUCAUCGCUGCCAGCAGCGGCGGGGGCGAUAAGGGCGACACUGGGGACUCGUCGCACCCCUCCCCCCCGCAGCCCUCGCCGUCCCGUCACAGAGAGCUUGUCACUUACGACCAUCACGUGCUCGACGGAGAGCUAUUCCUACAGGCGCUGAACGGUUUUCUUGUGAUCUUGGACUGCGAUGGAGAAGUUUUCUUUGCCACGCACAACAUCGAAACCUACCUAGGCUUCCAUCAGAGCGACAUCGUACACCAGAGCGUGUACGAGCUGGUACA
Hyalella azteca is the source of this 453-nucleotide long non-coding RNA. RefSeq lists it as uncharacterized. NCBI's taxonomy places the organism in Eukaryota, Metazoa, Arthropoda, Malacostraca, Amphipoda, Hyalellidae. The record is from RefSeq and is a predicted model, not a curated record. The transcript is spliced from 4 exons.